GGGUUGUGAGGUUAAGCGACUAAGCGUACACGGUGGAUGCCCUGGCAGUCAGAGGCGAUGAAGGACGUGCUAAUCUGCGAAAAGCGUCGGUAAGGUGAUAUGAACCGUUAUAGCCGGCGAUGUCCGAAUGGGGAAACCCAGUGUGAUUCGUCACACUAUCGUUAACUGAAUACAUAGGUUAACGAGGCGAACCGGGGGAACUGAAACAUCUAAGUACCCCGAGGAAAAGAAAUCAACCGAGAUUCCCCCAGUAGCGGCGAGCGAACGGGGAGCAGCCCAGAGUCUGAAUCAGCUUGUGUGUUAGUGGAACGGUCUGGAAAGUCCGACGGUACAGGGUGAUAGUCCCGUACACCAAAAUGCACAGGCUGUGAACUCGAAGAGUAGGGCGGGACACGUGGUAUCCUGUCUGAAUAUGGGGGGACCAUCCUCCAAGGCUAAAUACUCCUGACUGACCGAUAGUGAACCAGUACCGUGAGGGAAAGGCGAAAAGAACCCCGGCGAGGGGAGUGAAAAAGAACCUGAAACCGUGUACGUACAAGCAGUGGGAGCACCUUUAUGGUGUGACUGCGUACCUUUUGUAUAAUGGGUCAGCGACUUAUAUUCUGUAGCAAGGUUAACCGUAUAGGGGAGCCGCAGGGAAACCGAGUCUUAACUGGGCGUUAAGUUGCAGGGUAUAGACCCGAAACCCGGUGAUCUAGCCAUGGGCAGGUUGAAGGUUGGGUAACACUAACUGGAGGACCGAACCGACUAAUGUUGAAAAAUUAGCGGAUGACUUGUGGCUGGGGGUGAAAGGCCAAUCAAACCGGGAGAUAGCUGGUUCUCCCCGAAAGCUAUUUAGGUAGCGCCUCGUGAACUCAUCUUCGGGGGUAGAGCACUGUUUCGGCUAGGGGGUCAUCCCGACUUACCAACCCGAUGCAAACUACGAAUACCGAAGAAUGUUAUCACGGGAGACACACGGCGGGUGCUAACGUCCGUCGUGAAGAGGGAAACAACCCAGACCGCCAGCUAAGGUCCCAAAGUCAUGGUUAAGUGGGAAACGAUGUGGGAAGGCACAGACAGCCAGGAUGUUGGCUUAGAAGCAGCCAUCAUUUAAAGAAAGCGUAAUAGCUCACUGGUCGAGUCGGCCUGCGCGGAAGAUGUAACGGGGCUAAACCAUGCACCGAAGCUGCGGCAGCGACACUAUGUGUUGUUGGGUAGGGGAGCGUUCUGUAAGCCUGCGAAGGUGACCUGUGAGGGUUGCUGGAGGUAUCAGAAGUGCGAAUGCUGACAUAAGUAACGAUAAAGCGGGUGAAAAGCCCGCUCGCCGGAAGACCAAGGGUUCCUGUCCAACGUUAAUCGGGGCAGGGUGAGUCGACCCCUAAGGCGAGGCCGAAAGGCGUAGUCGAUGGGAAACAGGUUAAUAUUCCUGUACUUGGUGUUACUGCGAAGGGGGGACGGAGAAGGCUAUGUUAGCCGGGCGACGGUUGUCCCGGUUUAAGCAUGUAGGCUGGUUAUCCAGGCAAAUCCGGAUAAUCAAGGCUGAGGUGUGAUGACGAGGCACUACGGUGCUGAAGUAACAAAUGCCCUGCUUCCAGGAAAAGCCUCUAAGCAUCAGGUAACACGAAAUCGUACCCCAAACCGACACAGGUGGUCAGGUAGAGAAUACCAAGGCGCUUGAGAGAACUCGGGUGAAGGAACUAGGCAAAAUGGUGCCGUAACUUCGGGAGAAGGCACGCUGGUGUGUAGGUGAAGUCCCUGCGGAUGGAGCUGAGACCAGUCGAAGAUACCAGCUGGCUGCAACUGUUUAUUAAAAACACAGCACUGUGCAAACACGAAAGUGGACGUAUACGGUGUGACGCCUGCCCGGUGCCGGAAGGUUAAUUGAUGGGGUUAUCCGUAAGGAGAAGCUCUUGAUCGAAGCCCCGGUAAACGGCGGCCGUAACUAUAACGGUCCUAAGGUAGCGAAAUUCCUUGUCGGGUAAGUUCCGACCUGCACGAAUGGCGUAAUGAUGGCCAGGCUGUCUCCACCCGAGACUCAGUGAAAUUGAACUCGCUGUGAAGAUGCAGUGUACCCGCGGCAAGACGGAAAGACCCCGUGAACCUUUACUAUAGCUUGACACUGAACAUUGAGCCUUGAUGUGUAGGAUAGGUGGGAGGCUUUGAAGCGUGGACGCCAGUCUGCGUGGAGCCAACCUUGAAAUACCACCCUUUAAUGUUUGAUGUUCUAACGUUGGCCCCUUAUCGGGGUUGCGGACAGUGUCUGGUGGGUAGUUUGACUGGGGCGGUCUCCUCCCAAAGCGUAACGGAGGAGCACGAAGGUUAGCUAAUCCUGGUCGGACAUCAGGAGGUUAGUGCAAUGGCAUAAGCUAGCUUGACUGCGAGCGUGACGGCGCGAGCAGGUGCGAAAGCAGGUCAUAGUGAUCCGGUGGUUCUGAAUGGAAGGGCCAUCGCUCAACGGAUAAAAGGUACUCCGGGGAUAACAGGCUGAUACCGCCCAAGAGUUCAUAUCGACGGCGGUGUUUGGCACCUCGAUGUCGGCUCAUCACAUCCUGGGGCUGAAGUAGGUCCCAAGGGUAUGGCUGUUCGCCAUUUAAAGUGGUACGCGAGCUGGGUUUAGAACGUCGUGAGACAGUUCGGUCCCUAUCUGCCGUGGGCGCUGGAGAAUUGAGGGGGGCUGCUCCUAGUACGAGAGGACCGGAGUGGACGCAUCACUGGUGUUCGGGUUGUCAUGCCAAUGGCACUGCCCGGUAGCUAAAUGCGGAAGAGAUAAGUGCUGAAAGCAUCUAAGCACGAAACUUGCCCCGAGAUGAGUUCUCCCUGAGACUAUAAGUCUCCUGAAGGAACGUUGAAGACGACGACGUUGAUAGGCCGGGUGUGUAAGCGCAGCGAUGCGUUGAGCUAACCGGUACUAAUGAACCGUGAGGCUUAACCUUACAACGCCGAAG
RNAcentral lists this ribosomal RNA (2924 nucleotides) under Klebsiella quasipneumoniae. RNAcentral describes it as "23S ribosomal RNA". It matches the Rfam family "Bacterial large subunit ribosomal RNA". The record is from RNAcentral. Lineage: Bacteria; Pseudomonadati; Pseudomonadota; Gammaproteobacteria; Enterobacterales; Enterobacteriaceae.